This 323-nucleotide ribosomal RNA is filed under the name uncultured eukaryote. RNAcentral describes it as "partial 18S ribosomal RNA". It matches the Rfam family "Eukaryotic small subunit ribosomal RNA", at positions 1470 to 1796 of the family's 1831-position model. The record is from RNAcentral.
CCCUUAGAUGUUCUGGGCCGCACGCGUGCUACACUGAACGGUUCAAUGGGUAAGGUAGUGCGAAAGCAUGACCUAAUCUCGAAAUCCGUUCGUGCUGGGGAUAGAAGCUUGCAAUUAUCCUUCUUGAACGAGGAAUACCUUGUAAGCGUGAGUCAUCAUCUCACGCUGAAUACGUCCCUGCCCUUUGUACACACCGCCCGUCGCUCCUACCGAUUGAGUGUUCCGGUGAGGCUUUGGGAGAAUGGCCUCAACAUGAGUUUAUCGUGUUUUGCCGUUUGAACUUAGUCAAACCUUAUCACUUAGAGGAAGGAGAAGUCGUAAUA